This 497-nucleotide ribosomal RNA is filed under the name uncultured bacterium. RNAcentral describes it as "partial 16S ribosomal RNA". It matches the Rfam family "Bacterial small subunit ribosomal RNA", at positions 28 to 507 of the family's 1533-position model. The record is from RNAcentral.
GAUGAACGCUGGCGGCGUGCCUAAUACAUGCAAGUCGAGCGAACGGACGAGAAUCUUGCUUCUCUGAUGUUAGCGGCGGACGGGUGAGUAACACGUGGAUAACCUACCUAUAAGACUGGGAUAACUUCGGGAAACCGGAGCUAAUACCGGAUACUCUUUUGAACCGCAUGGUUCAACAGUGAAAGACGGUCUUGCUGUCACUUAUAGAUGGAUCCGCGCUGCAUUAGCUAGUUGGUAAGGGAACGGCUUACCAAGGCAACGAUGCCUAGCCGACCUGAGAGAGUGAUAGUCGACGGUGGAACUGAGACAGGGUCCAGACUCCUACGGGAGGCAGCAGUAGGGAAGCGUACGCAAUGGGCGAAAGCCUGACGGAGCAACGCCGAGUGAGUGAUGAAGGUGUUCGGAUCGGAAAACUCUGUUAUUAGGGAAGAACAUAUGUGUAAGUAACUGUGCACAUCGUGACGGUACCUAAUCAGAAAGCCACGGCUAACUACGUG